Non-coding RNA from Rattus norvegicus (Norway rat), 302 nucleotides. Lineage: Eukaryota; Metazoa; Chordata; Mammalia; Rodentia; Muridae. The record is from Rfam.
GAGUAUGAGUGUGAUUAGGCUGUGAUAUCUGACAUCACAUAUAUAAUCUUGAUCAAUUCAGUUUAUUUGGCUGACUAAGAAAGGAUAUCCUUCCUCCCUUACCACCCUAUGCAUGGUCCUCCUGAAGCUACACACUCAGUAUUCUUUUCUAUGGAAGAGGACUAGCCUUUGGCCGAAUGCACACAGGUACUUGAACUGUCCUGGUAGUAUCUCCUAGCAAGCUCAAGAUAAGAGUUAAGUAGCAGGGGGAAGGUUUUACAAAGUCUGCACUGUGCUUCGCUUUAAAGUCAAGUGGUUUACAG